Molecule: non-coding RNA, 73 nt
Organism: Paramuricea clavata
Lineage: Eukaryota; Metazoa; Cnidaria; Anthozoa; Malacalcyonacea; Plexauridae
Source: the annotation of a GenBank genome assembly
GCCUCUGUAGCUCACUUGGUUAGAGCACUGCACCGGAAUCGCAAGACCGUAGGUUCAAUUCCUACCAGAGGAC